AAAGCGGCCCUAAGUCCCAGCAACUUCAGGGGAUGCUGACGAGAUGGCUGACCACCGUCCUCAGGCCUCUGCAGAACUUCGGCCAAGUGGUGGUGGAGAAGUUCCAGCCCGACCCACUGACUGCCAGGGUGGGUG
Long non-coding RNA from Eubalaena glacialis (North Atlantic right whale), 135 nucleotides. RefSeq lists it as uncharacterized. The record is from RefSeq and is a predicted model, not a curated record. The transcript has 3 exons. NCBI's taxonomy places the organism in Eukaryota, Metazoa, Chordata, Mammalia, Artiodactyla, Balaenidae.